ACAGCACUCACCUGUCCCCUGCAGUGGUCCUCUGGGGACCAUUGCGUCCCUCUCCUGGAGCCGUUUCCCCAGCAGGCCGGGAAGUGAGGACCCUGCGAGCAGCCUGCGUGCAGCUUCUACUGGAGUCUGUGAGUGUGCUGCUCUUGUCCCAGCUGGACCAGAGGCCGAUGCAAGAGGAUCAACUCUGCUGCCCUUGAGUUUGAGGCCAGCCUGUGCAGCACAGCAAGACCCGCCCUAAAAUGGAUCAUGGAUGUGUUAACAUUUGUCAGAAGAAUUUGGAUCAUCUCAUCUUGGAAGAUGGCAGAGAGCAACCCACCCGUCUUCCUGGUAAGCAGCUAUUGCGCAAGCAAGCUUGGGCCGAGCCAGGAAGAGAACAAGUCAGUGUCCCCCAUGAGCCUGCAUUGUCUGAGAAUGAAACAUCCCACUCGCCCCCCUCCUUUAGCAACUCGGAGCCAGAGGCCUGAGCAGCCCUUGAGAGGAUGACCACAUGCAAUAUAGCAAACACGGGGGAUUUCCUUCUGUCUUCCCUUUGAAGGCAAAUAGUUUUCACUGUUUUGCUUUGUUCUGAUUAACUGUUUUGCUCUAUUCUGUUUUGAUAGGUUUUAUAAUGUUCUGUUUUUGAUUUGAUUUUGCUGUACCUGACUGAAUGGACAACUGUUGUGAAGAUAAUGAGAUAUAUUAUGGUUCCUAUUACCGUUAUCCUGGUAACCUGCUGUGAAGUUCUGUACCAAUUUCAAUGCAUUGUUGCCAUUGGCUCUGUUUUGUCUUGUUGUAUUUUACUACCUUCAAAAUAAAAAUAAAAAUAAAAUAAAAUAGA
Molecule: long non-coding RNA, 817 nt
Organism: Cavia porcellus (domestic guinea pig)
Lineage: Eukaryota; Metazoa; Chordata; Mammalia; Rodentia; Caviidae
Exons: 3
Source: RefSeq, a predicted model, not a curated record